AACUUUGCACAGUGGCAGUAUCCUAGCCAACGAGGUUAAUCUGAGGUGUGAUGAUUGCUAAUUGAAAAAUAAAAAAAAUAAAAAUGCAAUUUUGUGAAAACAAAAUGGUUGUUGCUGCUGUAUUUACGAAAU
Molecule: non-coding RNA, 132 nt
Organism: Zootoca vivipara (common lizard)
Lineage: Eukaryota; Metazoa; Chordata; Lepidosauria; Squamata; Lacertidae
Source: RefSeq, a predicted model, not a curated record